GGCAGGAUCCUUGGCCUGUCCACCAGUGGGCGGUGCCACUUCCAGAACGCAUCAACAGGGAUCUGCCACUGACCUCACUGUUGGCAUGCCACCAAAACCUGAAACUUCAGCUGCAAGCCACCCAAGAGAAGGCACCUGAGCUGUCAUCCAGUCUCACCAAACCAGCGCCAACCCUCAGGUGGGGAUGAGUGGAGCAGGACAAACCUUUCAGAUCCGCCCGGUGAU
This 225-nucleotide long non-coding RNA is filed under the name Scleropages formosus (Asian bonytongue). RNAcentral's name for it is "lncRNA (ENSSFOG00015024458.1)". The record is from RNAcentral. Lineage: Eukaryota; Metazoa; Chordata; Actinopteri; Osteoglossiformes; Osteoglossidae.